AUUGAACGCUGGCGGCAGGCCUAACACAUGCAAGUCGAACGGCAGCACAGAAGAGCUUGCUCUUUGGGUGGCGAGUGGCGGACGGGUGAGUAAUGUCUGGGAAACUGCCCGAUGGAGGGGGAUAACUACUGGAAACGGUAGCUAAUACCGCAUAACGUCGCAAGACCAAAGUGGGGGACCUUCGGGCCUCACACCAUCGGAUGUGCCCAGAUGGGAUUAGCUAGUAGGUGGGGUAAUGGCUCACCUAGGCGAUGAUCCCGAGCUGGUCUGAGAGGAUGACCAGCCACACGGGAACGGGGAAACGGUCCAGACUCCGACGGGAGGCAGCAGUGGGGAAUAUUGCACAAUGGGCGCAAGCCUGAUGCAGCCAUGCCGCGUGUAUGAAGAAGGCCUUCGGGUUGUAAAGUACUUUCAGCGGGGAGGAAGGCGGUGAGGUUAAUAACCUUGCCGAUUGACGUUACCCGCAGAAGAAGCACCGGCUAACUCCGUGCCAGCAGCCGCCGUAA
Molecule: ribosomal RNA, 506 nt
Filed under: uncultured bacterium
Lineage: Bacteria
Description: partial 16S ribosomal RNA
Rfam family: Bacterial small subunit ribosomal RNA
Source: RNAcentral